RNAcentral lists this transfer RNA (93 nucleotides) under Fenollaria massiliensis. Its description in RNAcentral is "tRNA-Ser". It matches the Rfam family "tRNA". From Rfam's summary of the family: Transfer RNA (tRNA) molecules are approximately 80 nucleotides in length. Their secondary structure includes four short double-helical elements and three loops (D, anti-codon, and T loops). The record is from RNAcentral. Lineage: Bacteria; Bacillati; Bacillota; Clostridia; Eubacteriales. RNAcentral also lists the same sequence under 5 other names.
GGAGAGAUGGUUGAGUUGGUUGAAGGCGCUCGCCUGGAAAGCGGGUAUACGUGAUUAAGCGUAUCAGGGGUUCGAAUCCCCUUCUCUCCGCCA